GAUGAACGCUGGCGGCGUGCUUAACACAUGCAAGUCGAACGGAAAGGCCCAAGCUUGCUUGGGUACUCGAGUGGCGAACGGGUGAGUAACACGUGGGUGAUCUGCCCUGCACUUCGGGAUAAGCCUGGGAAACUGGGUCUAAUACCGGAUAGGACCACAUUUUGGAUGGUGUGGUGGAAAGUUUUUCGGUGUGGGAUGAGCUCGCGGCCUAUCAGCUUGUUGGUGGGGUAAUGGCCUACCAAGGCGUCGACGGGUAGCCGGCCUGAGAGGGUGUACGGCCACAUUGGGACUGAGAUACGGCCCAGACUCCUACGGGAGGCAGCAGUGGGGAAUAUUGCACAAGGGGCGCAAGCCUGAUGCAGCGACGCCGCGUGGGGGAUGACGGCCUUCGGGUUGUAAACUCCUUUCGCUAGGGACGAAGCGCAAGUGACGGUACCUGGAGAAGAAGCACCGGCUAACUACGUG
This 465-nucleotide ribosomal RNA is filed under the name uncultured bacterium. RNAcentral's name for it is "partial 16S ribosomal RNA". It matches the Rfam family "Bacterial small subunit ribosomal RNA", at positions 28 to 507 of the family's 1533-position model. The record is from RNAcentral.